RNAcentral lists this ribosomal RNA (463 nucleotides) under uncultured bacterium. RNAcentral's name for it is "partial 16S ribosomal RNA". It matches the Rfam family "Bacterial small subunit ribosomal RNA", at positions 28 to 507 of the family's 1533-position model. The record is from RNAcentral.
GAUGAACGCUGACAGAAUGCUUAACGCAUGCAAGUCUUUGGCGAAGCUGUGCUUGCACAGCCUAGCCAAGGCGGACGGGUGAGUAACGCGUAAGGAACUUGCCCUGCAGUCAGGGAUAACAGACGGAAACGACUGAUAAGACCUGGUAAAGUCAGGCGGACUCAUGUCCAGCCUGAUGAAAAGAGAUGCUGCAGGAGAGCCUUGCGUCCUAUUAGCUUGUUGGUGGGGUAACGGCCCACCAAGGCGAUGAUAGGUAGCCGGCCUGAGAGGGUGGACGGCCACAAGGGGACUGAGAUACGGCCCUUACUCCUACGGGAGGCAGCAGUGGGGAAUAUUGGACAAUGGGGGCAACCCUGAUCCAGCAAUUCUGUGUGCACGAUGAAGGUUUUCGGAGUGUAAAGGGCUUUCAGCAGGGAAGAAAAAAAUGACGGUACCUGCAGAAGAAGCGACGGCUAAAUACGUG